AGCCUGAACGCUGGCGGCGUGGUUAAGACAUGCAAGUCGUACGGUGUAGCAAUACACAGUGGCGAACGGGUGAGUAAUGAAUCGCUAAUGUACCCCGGACUUUGGGAUAGCUGAUCGAAAGGUCAGGUAAUACCAGGUAAUAUAACUUUGUCGCAUGACAGAGUUCUCAAAGGUCCGCCGGUCUGGGAGCAGGCGAUUUCGUAUCAGCUAGUUGGUAGGGUAACGGCCUACCAAGGCGACGACGCGUAGCCGGACUGAGAGGUUGGCCGGCCACAUUGGGACUGAGACACUGCCCAGACUCCUACGGGGGGCUGCAGUAACGAAUCUUCCGCAAUGCACGAAAGUGUGACGGAGCGACGCCGCGUGUGGGACGAAGCCCUUCGGGUGUAAACCACUGUCAAGGGAAGAAGUUCUGAUCUACCCUAGAGGAAGAGGCGGCUAACUCUGUCGCCAGCAGCCGC
RNAcentral lists this ribosomal RNA (461 nucleotides) under uncultured bacterium. Its description in RNAcentral is "SSU rRNA". It matches the Rfam family "Bacterial small subunit ribosomal RNA", at positions 26 to 518 of the family's 1533-position model. The record is from RNAcentral.